AGAGAGAGACAUGCGCGCAUAUCAAUAAGCGGAGGAAAAGAAACUAACAAGGAUUCCCCUAGUAACGGCGAGUGAAGCGGGAAGAGCUCAAAUUUGAAAUCUUAAAGGGUUUCCCUUUACGAAUUGUAGUUUAAAGAAGUGUUUUUCUGUUGAGGUUUUGGUAAAAGUUCUUUGGAAUAGGACAUCAUAGAGGGUGAGAAUCCCGUAUUUGACCUUUACUUUCAACUUUGUGAUACACUUUCAAAGAGUCGGAUUGUUUGGGAAUGCAGUCCAAAAUGGGUGGUAAAGUUUCAUCUAAAGCUAAAUAUUGGCGAGAGACCGAUAGCGAACAAGUACCGUGAGGGAAAGAUGAAAAGAACUUUGAAAAGAGAGUUAAACAGUACGUGAAAUUGUCAAAAGGGAAGCGUUUGACACCAGUGUUGUUUUUCUGAAAAUCAAUUAAAGAACUGUUUAUGCUAAGUUGUUUAGACUUUAUCAGCUAACUGUUUAGUUUUGAGCUUUUCUUUAAUGCACUUUUCAGUUAACAAGUCAACAUCAAUUUCUUUUGCUGUAAAAAAGCUUGAGGAAGGUGGCUUGAGAUUCGUCUUAAGUGUUUAUAGCCUCUUGCCUAUGCAGUCGGAGAGAUUGAGGUCUGCAGCGUAGAUCCUUCGGGGCUAAAUGCAUUUGUGCUAAGUUAUAGCAUUUUAUAGACAACUUGUUGACUAUGAUUUGUCUUGUAGCUUACUCGCUUAUGUUAUUUUACCUACGCUUAGGAUGUUGAGCGCAUGUCUCUCUCU
This 776-nucleotide ribosomal RNA is filed under the name uncultured Neocallimastigales. RNAcentral's name for it is "partial large subunit ribosomal RNA". It matches the Rfam family "Eukaryotic large subunit ribosomal RNA", at positions 23 to 616 of the family's 3401-position model. The record is from RNAcentral. Lineage: Eukaryota; Fungi; Neocallimastigomycota; Neocallimastigomycetes; Neocallimastigales.